UACGUAGGGGGCUAGCGUUGUCCGGAAUCAUUGGGCGUAAAGCGCGUGUAGGCGGCUCGGUAAGUCUGCUGUGAAAGUCCAGGGCUCAACCCUGGGAUGCCGGUGGAUACUGUCGAGCUCGAGUCCGGAAGAGGCGAGUGGAAUUCCUGGUGUAGCGGUGAAAUGCGCAGAUAUCAGGAGGAACACCAAUGGCGAAGGCAGCUCGCUGGGACGUGACUGACGCUGAGACGCGAAAGCGUGGGGAGCAAACAGG
RNAcentral lists this ribosomal RNA (253 nucleotides) under uncultured bacterium. RNAcentral describes it as "partial 16S ribosomal RNA". It matches the Rfam family "Bacterial small subunit ribosomal RNA", at positions 524 to 776 of the family's 1533-position model. The record is from RNAcentral.